GACGAACGCUGGCGGCGUGCCUAAUACAUGCAAGUUGAGCGCUGAAGGUUGGUACUUGUACCAACUGGAUGAGCAGCGAACGGGUGAGUACCGCGUGGGGAAUCUGCCUUUGAGCGGGGGACAACAUUUGGAAACGAAUGCUAAUACCGCAUAAAAACUUUAAACACAAGUUUUAAGUUUGAAAGAUGCAAUUGCAUCACUCAAAGAUGAUCCCGCGUUGUAUUAGCUAGUUGGUGAGGUAAAGGCUCACCAAGGCGAUGAUACAUAGCCGACCUGAGAGGGUGAUCGGCCACAUUGGGACUGGGACACGGCCCAAACUCCUACGGGAGGCAGCAGUAGGGAAUCUUCGGCAAUGGACGAAAGUCUGACCGAGCAACGCCGCGUGAGUGAAGAAGGUUUUCGGAUCGUAAAACUCUGUUGGUAGAGAAGAACGUUGGUGAGAGUGGAAAGCUCAUCAAGUGACGGUAACUACCCAGAAAGGGACGGCUAACUACGUG
This 497-nucleotide ribosomal RNA is filed under the name uncultured bacterium. RNAcentral's name for it is "partial 16S ribosomal RNA". It matches the Rfam family "Bacterial small subunit ribosomal RNA", at positions 28 to 507 of the family's 1533-position model. The record is from RNAcentral.